UGGGGAAUUUUGGACAAUGGGGGCAACCCUGAUCCAGCCAUGCCGCGUGUAUGAAGAAGGCCUUCGGGUUGUAAAGUACUUUUGUUAGGGAAGAAAAGGGAAGUGCUAAUACCACUUUUUGCUGACGGUACCUAAAGAAUAAGCACCGGCUAACUACGUGCCAGCAGCCGCGGUAAUACGUAGGGUGCGAGCGUUAAUCGGAAUUACUGGGCGUAAAGCGAGCGCAGACGGUUACUUAAGCAGGAUGUGAAAUCCCCGGGCUUAACCUGGGAACUGCGUUCUGAACUGGGUAGCUAGAGUAUGUCAGAGGGGGGUAGAAUUCUACGUGUAGCAGUGAAAUGCGUAGAGAUGUGGAGGAAUACCGAUGGCGAAGGCAGCCCCCUGGGAUAAUACUGACGUUCAUGCUCGAAAGCGUGGGUAGCAAACAGGAUUAGAUACCCUGGUAGUCCACGCCCUAAACGAUGUCGAUUAGCUGUUGGGCAACUUGAUUGCUUAGUAGCGUAGCUAACGCGUGAAAUCGACCGCCUGGGGAGUACGGGUCGCAAGAUUA
This 550-nucleotide ribosomal RNA is filed under the name uncultured bacterium. RNAcentral's name for it is "bacterial SSU rRNA". It matches the Rfam family "Bacterial small subunit ribosomal RNA", at positions 355 to 896 of the family's 1533-position model. The record is from RNAcentral.